This 403-nucleotide ribosomal RNA is filed under the name bacterium. RNAcentral describes it as "partial 16S ribosomal RNA". It matches the Rfam family "Bacterial small subunit ribosomal RNA", at positions 355 to 776 of the family's 1533-position model. The record is from RNAcentral.
UGGGGUAUAUUGCACAAUGGGGGAAACCCUGAUGCAGCGACGCCGCGUGAACGAAGAAGGUAUUCGUAUCGUAAAGUUCUGUCCUAUGGGAAGAUAAUGACAGUACCAUAGAAGAAAGCUCCGGCUAAAUACGUGCCAGCAGCCGCGGUAAUACGUAUGGAGCGAGCGUUGUCCGGAAUUAUUGGGCGUAAAGGGUACGCAGGCGGUUUAAUAAGUCGAAUGUUAAAGAUCGGGGCUCAACCCCGCAAAGCAUUGGAAACUGAUAAACUUGAGUAGUGGAGAGGAAAGUGGAAUUCCUAGUGUAGUGGUGAAAUACGUAGAUAUUAGGAGGAAUACCAGUAGCGAAGGCGACUUUCUGGACACAAACUGACGCUGAGGUACGAAAGCGUGGGGAGCAAACAGG